AAGAAGAAGAGAAAAAAACAAAAACUAAGAGGCAAGCCUCAGAAGUAUGAAUGAGAAAUCAAAUAUCCAAAGGUCAAACUAGCAAGUAAGAAUUUCGCACAUAUAUGAUCAAUGUACACACCAAAAUAUUAUUCAAGAUUGAAAGGAGAAAAAUAAGAAGUGUUUAUAAGGAAAGUCAAUAUGCAAGACAACAAAAAGAAUGAAGUCCCUUUAGCAGACCCACUAAACUUCCCCGAGUUGCUUGAAGUCAC
RNAcentral lists this long non-coding RNA (251 nucleotides) under Lathyrus oleraceus (garden pea). RNAcentral's name for it is "Pisum sativum (pea) long non-coding RNA (PSAT_LNC008726)". Lineage: Eukaryota; Viridiplantae; Streptophyta; Magnoliopsida; Fabales; Fabaceae. The record is from RNAcentral.